Molecule: long non-coding RNA, 5009 nt
Filed under: Macaca fascicularis (crab-eating macaque)
Lineage: Eukaryota; Metazoa; Chordata; Mammalia; Primates; Cercopithecidae
Description: lncRNA (ENSMFAG00000049122.1)
Source: RNAcentral
CCCAGGAGCAGGGCAAGAAAUUGUUCCCGCCCUGCUCUCAGAAGGAACUAACACUCAACUGCUCUGCUCUGGCUUGGGGGCCUGUACUUUUCCUAGGCUUUUAAUUUUUACUAUGCAUCUUCCAUCAGCCUUACUACUGAAGGCUGUAUGCCAGCUGACGUCUAUGCACAGCAAGGUGGCUUCUGGGACACCUGCUUCAAACAGGUAUCCAGCUAACUGCUCCCCACCAAACCCCGCCAGGCAUAUGUUUGAGAUGUCUGGCCACUGGAGGUCGUCUCGUCUACUAUGUUCACCACAGAUAAAGAAUGAAAAGAGAAUACACAACCUUGUGAUUGCUAGCAGUGAAAGCUCAGAGUUGUGACAUAACAGGUACAAAUUGAUCUGACUUGAUUUGUCAGAGAGCCAGAACUGCAGGCAAAUAGACGCCAGAGAAAUCAACCGAUCUUUUAAGCCAGCAGUAAUUGUUCCUCCUGUCGGCUGGCUAAAUGAGUUGUAUCUGGAGGAGAUGCUCAGAAUGAAUCAGAAUGCUCGAGGUGACAGAAACACAGAGCAUUCCAAAGUGGGCUGUAACAGAGUAAGUGUUUCUUCAUGUCUUACAAGGGUUUGGUUUCAUGUUUUUUCCCCUUUCCCUCUUAUUCUGUCUCCUGGGGCUAGUGUUAUCUGGCAGAGACCAAGCUGAUGCAUGUAUAUAAUAGCAAGGAAUAGUAGUUUGUGUGGGGAUGAGGGAAGGUGAGUAUUAGCAUUUAACCCUAGAAUAUACUUACCUGUGUCUCAGUCACUAAACCCAGGAAGUUCCUAUAGAAUAGGCACCACCAAAGAGGCGGUAAAAUCCCUUUGCUGGCGAGCUGUCCAUCUUUUUUUUUUUUUUUUUCUUUUUUUUUAGACAGAGUCUCACUCUGUUGCCUAGGUUGGAGUACAGUGGCACCCUCCCAAGUAGCUGGGAUUACAGGCAUGUCCUACCACGCCCAGCUAAUUUGUGUAUUUUUAGUAGAGAUGGAGUUUCACCAUGUUGGCCAGGCUGGUCUCAAAGUCCUGACCAGUGAUCCUCCUGCCUCGGCCUCCCAACGUGGUGGGAUUACAGGUGUGAGUCACUGUGCCUGGCCCCAUUGUUUUUAAAUUAAAAAAAAAAAAAAUGAAAUAGUUUGAACAUACAGGAAAACUGCAAAAUAUAAUUUACACUCAUGUACCGACUACCCAGAGUCAUAUUAGCAUUGGUUCCCUUUUUUUUUCUUCCUUUUUCCCUCUCUCGCUCUUUUCUUCCCUCCCUUCCUUCUUUUGAAACAAAAUGUUGCAGUAUAGCUAAAUCUUCAUUCUUUUAUCACAUUGUUUUAUUUAUUUAUCUUCCUUUCCAGAGGGAGCUGAUAUCAUAAGGUUAGAAUUUAUCUUUCUUGUUCAUUAAAAUUACCUUAUAUAUAUGCAGAAAUAAUAUGCAGCACUCUUUGGGGGUAGGUUUUUAAUAUUAACCUAUGUGGUAUAUUUUAUAUGUAUUCUUUUACAACUUGUUUACAUUUUUUGUUGGGAUUUAUCCAUGCUGAUACUAAUAGGUCUAGUACAUUUGUUUUAACUGCUGCAUUGAAUUGCUUUAUAUGACUAACCUCAACUUUAUUUAACUUUACUCUGUUAUGAACAUGUUUUUUCCUACUAUAAACAAUGCUGCAAUACUUGUGAGCUCUCUUCAGGCCCAGGUGUAAGGUUUUUUUCUACAGGGUAUAUAUUUAAGAGCGGAAUUGCUGGGUUACAAGAUUGGCUUUUCUUCAACUUUACUAGCUAUUAUCAAAUUGUUAAACUGUGCACUUAAAAAUAGUUUAUACAGCAUCCCCCUAAAGGAUAGACCAAAAAGGAAUAAGAUGUAGGAAUCGAAUAGCAAAAAGAUGUAACAAAAAAACUAGUUCAGUAAAGCACAUUAUGUUCGUUUUCUGUAACCUGGUCCAUGAUCUUUCUGGUUGUAUUUCCUUUCUUGAAAUAAGACUCUAAUGCAAUCUGUAUCCUACGUGAGGUAAAAUAGUGCCUGAACUACCAUCUCUAUACUAUUCCACCAUAAAUAGACAAGGCAAGUAGCUGGGUAAGAGCUCCUAAGUUAUCCUUCUGAGCUCCAGACUUUCAUUCCAUAACUUUAUCUUCAGACUUUGUUGCAUUAUGUGCCCAGGUUGGGAAACUAGCUUCAUUUUGUAAUCACCCAUAAAAUCUGAAGAAAACCAGGUCUUAAAGGUGGAAUGUACCAAUCCCCUGGAGGAUAUCAGAGUAUCUGGUGCAGGUCACAGAAACCUCUGAACAUCAGAAAUAGAAAUGAAAAAAGAUCUUUAUUUCAUGGUGUAACCAGCUUGUGAGUACACAUUUGGACACACUCAUUUUGAUGCUUCCAUUUACAGUGGUUCUAAACCCUAUAGGCUUAUGCUAAACUUCCACCACCUUCCCCUCAGAGGCAUCCCCCCAGUUAUUUCAAGGGGGUCCCCAAGGUGUUGGCUCAUCACAUGUGCUGAGAAACACGUUUGCUUGUGUGAUGCCUUGGCUUCUUUGUCAGGGGACUGUACCCUGGGUUGGCCCUCAGUGAGAAUGGGACUCCAUUAGGCACAUCCAUAUUCUUCCCUUCUUAGGAAGCCAGAGCUAUCCGUAUGCGUGGCAGGGUUGGGAUAGGGUGAGAAGGGGAGCAGGACCUUUUCUCUAGCUCUCCUCUCGGGCUCUAAAGCAGCACACAUGUACCCAGCUUUGCUCAAAGCCUCCCUUCUGCUUCUGCACAAUUCCUCAUGUUUUUGAGAUUCAAAAUUAUUUUUUUGCCACAGGGUUGGAGUCGGGGUGGGGAAAAUGUUACUCCAUUCUCGCUAUUGUCACCCUAUUUCCUGUCUCUCCUCCUAGGCACUGUGUCUCAGUACUCUCCCAACUUGGUCCCCAGGCAGUGAGCGCUUCAUGGCCAGGGAGAGAUAGGACUGAACCCUUGUACCUUCAAACAUAUCUAAAUCCCUGUUGCAGUUCAGGUGAGACAGCCUGCUAAAUAGAGUCACUAAAGACACAAAGAGGCCCUUUGGGGGACAUUCAUUAUUUUCCUCCCAUGGCAGAUCAGCAACAAAAGCACAUGAAGACACCAGCCUUGUUUUGAAUGGAGAACAGAUCUGUGCAUGUAAAGAAGAAAUAGCUUGUUUGGGGCUAAAUCAAACCUCUGAACAUUUCUUUUUCUUUUUUUUUUUGACAGAGUUUCACUGUGUCACCCAAGCUGGAGUGCAGUGGUACAAUCUUGGCUCACUGCAACCUCUGCCUCCCUGGCUCAAGUGAUUCUCCCACCUCAGCCUUCUGAGUAGCUGGGAUUACAGGCAUGUGCCACCAUGCCCGGCUGAUUUCUUGGUAUUUUAGUAGAGAUGAGGUUUCACCAUGUUGCCCGGGGUGGUCUCGAAUUCCUGAGCUCAGGCAGUCUGUCCACCUUGUCCUCCCAAAAUGCUGGGAUUACAGGUGUGAGCCACUGUGUGCCCAGCCCUCUGAACAUUUCUUAAAACAUGGAAUCAUGGCUGGACGUGGUGGCUCACGCUUGUAAUCCCAACACUUUGGGAGGCCAAAGCAGGAGGAUUUCUGAGCCCAGGAGUUCAAGAUCAGCUUGGGCAAUACAGCGAAACCUUGUCUCUACAAAAUAAUAACAAAAAAAGUAGCCAGGCAUGGUGGUGCACACUUGCAAUCCCAGCUACUUGGGAGACUGAGGCAGGAGACUUGCUUGAACCUGGGAGGUCAGGACUGUAGUGAACCAUGAUUGUACCACUGUACUCCAGCCUGGGCAAUAUAGUGAGACUUCAUCCCAAAACAGAAAACAAAAACACACAGGAUCACGUUUGAAGAGAUCUUAGGUGUUAUCUAGUUCACCAUCCUGUCUAUCUUGAUUAUCUACUGUUUUGUUACAAACCACCCUGAAAUUUAAUGACUUAAUAGUGAUUCAUUGUUUUUCACAGUUCUGUGGGUUGGCUGAAUGGUUCCUCUGCUGUUUUCACCUGGGCUGACUUAUGUGGCUGUGUUGAAUUGGAGCUUCCAGGAUGGCCUCAUUCAUAGGUGUGGCAGAUGGUAUUGACUGUUGGCUGGGGUGCCUUGGUUCUCCUCUUAGCCUCUUAUCCUCUGGAAGGCUUCCUUACAUGGUGAGUCUCAGGGCAGCACUUAAAGAGGAUGGAAGCUGCAAGGCCUUUGGAACUCAUACAACCACAUUCUUGUCACAUUCAAUUGGUCAAAACAAGUCAGAAGGCUGGCCCAGAGUCAAGAUUGAGAAAUAGACUCCACUUCUUGAUGGGAGUUGUUGCAAAAUAUUGUGGCCACUCAAUCCCAGCUAUAGCAUCUCUGAUGGUUGUUCUAAUUAAAUAAGGCUAGUGAAGGGCUUCUUUCUCUUUCUUGAGACAACUUGUUUCAUGUAGACCACCCACAGUCUUUCCUUUUGGAUGAACACCUCUUUGGUUCAAAAUAAGCAUCAGGGUCUCACGCAUCCUUAUUCAUUACUGGGGAUAUGAAACCUGGAGGAGAUGAAAAGGAAAUUGUACCUUUAGGACACAUGCAUGGAAUAACUUAUUUUUGUCUAAGUUACACUUGAGCUAGAUGUGCCUGCUGGGGAGGUACCCUUGUUCUGGCUAAGCUGGGCCAGUGUAGAGCUGAGGGGCAAUAAAACAAAUGAGCUGAUUGCACCUGUCUCUGGCGUAGAUUUUAAGGGAGAAAGAGAAAGGGGGUCCUUGAGAUUUCUGUGCUAUUCAGCCUAGUUCACUAAAGCAGGAGAACAGAGAAAUUAGUUGGAGAGGAAGCCCUGGUCCAGAAUAAAGGGUGCCCAGGGCUAAAAAUCUCAGGAAAUUUUGUGUUGUCGUAAGUAUCUGGAUGGCAUGCAGAUCCAGGGGAAGCAAGAGGAUGCAAACAUACUUUUGGUUUAGUGCUCUGUUACUCACAGUGUGUUCAUUGGGUCACCAGGAGAAUCUUGGGCCCACUGCAUUUUAAUAAGAUCACCAAAUAACUCAUCUGCUCAUUAAAAUUUGAGACGCACUGACUUAGACAGCCUUCCC